GGGGCUGCACUGGUUUCGACGGGGACAGUGAGGCCGGAUAAGCGGGCGGAGGCGCCUGGCCUCCAUAAAACGGGCAAUUUUUUCAAAUUAACUGACAACUCUAAAGUUGCUCUGGCUGCCUAAUUAGGCGCCCAUCCUCUCCGGAAGGACCACGAGCCGGAACAGGGUGUGAUCUGAGUGGUGACCGUGCGUACGCUAAGCUUUGCGCGUACCAUGAAUCAUGAAGCUACCAAGGUGCGGAGUGUGUUUGUUCACGCCGUGCCGAGGGAAUGGAAAGAACAAACUGCGCCCGGAGAAGGUCCUGUCAAGUUGUUUUCGGACAGGGGUUCGAUUCCCCUCAGCUCCACCA
RNAcentral lists this transfer-messenger RNA (349 nucleotides) under Oscillospiraceae. Its description in RNAcentral is "CAG-170 sp902803075 Standard tmRNA". It matches the Rfam family "transfer-messenger RNA". From Rfam's summary of the family: Bacterial tmRNA, also known as 10Sa RNA or SsrA, is named for its dual tRNA and mRNA-like properties. Its role is to liberate the mRNA from a stalled ribosome. Lineage: Bacteria; Bacillati; Bacillota; Clostridia; Eubacteriales. RNAcentral also lists the same sequence under 2 other names. The record is from RNAcentral.